GACAGCAGUAGCCGCGGGAAUACGAAGGGUGCAAGCGUUAAUCGGAAUUACUGGGCGUAAAGCGUGCGUAGGUGGUGGUUUAAGUCCGUUGUGAAAGCCCUGGGCUCAACCUGGGAAUUGCAGUGGAUACUGGGUCACUAGAGUGUGGUAGAGGAUAGUGGAAUUUCCGGUGUAGCAGUGAAAUGCGUAGAGAUCGGAAGGAACAUCUGUGGCGAAGGCGACUAUCUGGGCCAACACUGACACUGAGGCACGUAAGCGUGGGGAGCAAACAGGAUUAGAUACCCCAGUAGUCCCUGUCUCUUAUAC
This 306-nucleotide ribosomal RNA is filed under the name uncultured bacterium. RNAcentral describes it as "partial 16S ribosomal RNA". It matches the Rfam family "Bacterial small subunit ribosomal RNA", at positions 507 to 807 of the family's 1533-position model. The record is from RNAcentral.